UACGUAGGGUGCAAGCGUUAAUCGGAAUACUGGCGUAAAGACGUGCGCAGGCGGUUUUGUUAAGACAGAGGUGAAAUCCCCGGGCUCAACCUGGGAACUGCCUUUGUGACUGCAAGGCUGGAGUGCGGCAGAGGGGGAUGGAAUUCCGCGUGUAGCAGUGAAAUGCGUAGAUAUGCGGAGGAACACCGAUGGCGAAGGCAAUCCCCUGGGCCUGCACUGACGCUCAUGCACGAAAGCGUGGGGAGCAAACAGGAUUAGAUACCCCCGUAGUCC
This 273-nucleotide ribosomal RNA is filed under the name uncultured bacterium. Its description in RNAcentral is "partial 16S ribosomal RNA". It matches the Rfam family "Bacterial small subunit ribosomal RNA", at positions 524 to 796 of the family's 1533-position model. The record is from RNAcentral.